RNAcentral lists this unclassified non-coding RNA (2244 nucleotides) under Homarus americanus (American lobster). RNAcentral's name for it is "ethanolaminephosphotransferase 1-like, transcript variant X1". The record is from RNAcentral. Lineage: Eukaryota; Metazoa; Arthropoda; Malacostraca; Decapoda; Nephropidae.
GGGUGGGACCAUGGCAGCACUGCGGGAGGAGAGAGUUAUGGCCAGUGUUGCUGCGGGAGGACACAGGAUGAGCGGCUGAAUACAUACCACAUUACGUACAGUUGUGAAUGGAAAAGGAGCAAGAUGACGGUAGUGCGAUAUUUAACCCCGGAGCAGCUAGUAGGAUUUGAAAACUAUAAGUACAGUGCACAAGACACAAGCCCUCUCAGCAACUAUGUUAUGCAUCCAUUUUGGAAUGCUGUUGUAAAGAUAUGUCCACGAUGGAUAGCUCCGAAUGUUCUCACAUUUGUGGGCUUCUUGUUUACUGUUGGGAAUUUUGUUCUCCUGGCUGUGUAUGACUAUAGUUAUUAUGCCUCUAGUGAUGAACCUCCAGCAGACCAAUAUCCACCUAUCCCAAACUGGGUAUGGUUUGCCUGUGCAUUCAAUCAUUUUAUGGCACACACUUUAGAUGGAAUAGAUGGAAAACAAGCAAGGAGGACUGGGACAAGUGGCCCACUGGGAGAGCUCUUUGAUCAUGGGUUAGACUCUUGGUCGACCUUCUUUAUCCCAGCAUGCAUCUGGUCUGUAUUUGGCAGAUUAGAUUACAGUAUUUCCCCACUCAGGUUUUAUUUUGUUUUAUGGAAUGUUAUUCUCUGUUUCUACACAUCUCACUGGGAGAAGUACCUGACCAAGAUUUUGUUCCUACCAUGGGGAUAUGAUAUAUCCCAAAUGCUGAUAUUCGUGAUUUAUUUAAUAACGGGAUUUGGGGGGCAGAACAUUUGGAAGUUUAAGAUAUUUUGGGGGAUUUCUUCAGGAGCCAUGUUUGAAUUCAUGAUGUAUGCUGGCUCUCUUGGCACAUCUCUGCCCAUGUCAUUUUGGAACAUUUACAAGUCCUACAGAGACAAAACUGGGAAGAUGCUGGGUGUGUGGGAGUCCAUACGGCCUUUGUUCACUCCCAUUGUAUUCUUUACCUUCUCCACUAUAUGGGUAUAUCAUUCAUCUACAGACAUUAUCAAUAAGAAUCCAAGGAUGUACCUCUUCAUGGUUGGCACAAUUUUUGCGAAUGUCAAUUGUCGAUUGAUCGUAUCACAGAUGAGUAGCACACGAUGUGAAUUUAUUAACUGGCUGAUUCUACCUCUUGCCUUGUCUGUGGUGAUAGUGUUGGUGUUUCCCAGUCUGGAGAUGGCUACCCUGCUUGUUAUGAGUAGUGUUGCCACUGUGGCUCACAUUCAUUAUGGUGUUUAUGUGGUACGUCAGAUGUGUGAGCAUUUUCUCAUUAAGUGCUUCACCAUUAAAGAUCGAGCCGAUUGACUACUCGCCGACAGUGCGUAAGGAAUUUGUGGAUGGCUGCCCUCGGAACCAAUGUGAAAUUGAAAAUUUCUUUGUCUUUGACUCAAGGUAUCACUGAAGCUAACACUACUGUUGAUGAGUGAUAAGAGUACUGUAUGAGGUUGCUGAUAAGAGAGCCUUUGGUAGUGUAUAUUGUAUUAAAGCCAAAACUACACUAGGCAGGGGGAAUCAGCACUGAGUUCUUUAACUUAUCGUGAAGUACCUGUAUGCCAUACUGCCAUCAGCCCAUAACAACUUUACAUCAGGAGUAAAUACUGUAGUAAUGUAAGAUGUGAUUGACAAAGAAUUUUUUUUAUCAUGAUAUGUUUUAAUUCUUUUAACAUAUUGAAAGGUUUCGUUAGGGCGCUAAGCCAUUUGUCUGCAAAGUCCUUUGCACUGUCCCUCGGACGUAUCAGAAGCUUUGUACUGUAUGCAUAUUAAUGUACUGUAUGCUCAUAAUUUCUAAAUCACAAUAUUUUUCGGAACAAUUAAUAUUCUAAAAUACAAUACUAAGCUUAACAUUGUUAAGUUACCUAAGAGCUGUUAAAUUUUUUUAAUUAACUAUUUAGAUGAACUGCAUUAAUAAAUAAUUUCAUUCAGUAUUAAGAGUUGUGCAGUUUAAUAAAAAAAUUGAAGACAGGGGUGAAAUGGGACAAGUCUCAAACACUGCAAUCAAGUUUACAGCUGAAUUGCAUGUACACUCACUAUUGCAUGUACAGUACAAGCACACUUGUAUGCAACAGAUGCUGUACCUUUACAUUGACAUUCAUGUGUACACUCACGCGCCAUAGUUUUGAUGUGCCCUCUCCCCCUACUCCUGGCUUGAGGGAAGUCGUAGUCAGGGGUGUAAACCGAACGGUCCCUCUUGUAUAGUGAUGUUAAAUAUAGUAAUGGUAAAUAAAGUGUUGUGAAGUCACUAAAAUCCUGUAUCGUGCA